This is a long non-coding RNA of Acanthochromis polyacanthus (spiny chromis), 2379 nucleotides long. RefSeq lists it as uncharacterized. The transcript has 6 exons. The record is from RefSeq and is a predicted model, not a curated record. NCBI's taxonomy places the organism in Eukaryota, Metazoa, Chordata, Actinopteri, Pomacentridae.
UUACUGUGUAGUGCAAUUUAUGGGCGUUACACAUGUACAUUUUUUCAAGAUGGCACCGUGCUAGCGGCAGCCAGUUACAGCAGCUCCUGUUAACUCUAAGUGUUUUUAGAUAUUUCUUGUAGUUUUUCUCUUUCCUUUUAUUCUAUUCUUCAAGUGGGUGCACCGCAUUUGUACAGGGCAGCAAUGGCUGUACAAGUGGCGCUUCCCCUACUUUUUCUACUCUUUAUUUUGGAACUUUUUUGUUUCUCAACUGGCAACCCGUUCAAACAUGGCGCCAUUGUUUACAGUCGGGAUCAGCUGUUGGCGCUGAGCCAGGCUAGGCAGCCGCAAUGGGAGAGACCGAACAUCCCAGCGGAGCUGCGGAGGAGAGGAUGCAGAGCAGGAGCGAAACACCAGGAGAAGAGGAGACGCUACAAGCCGUCUGUUCCAUCUGUAAUAAUGGGAAAUGUGAGGUCUCUCCCGAACAAGAUGGAAGAGCUUACGGCGCUGACCAGGCAGGAGUGGGAGUAUAGAGAGAGCAGUCUCUUGAUGUUUACCGAGUCAUGACUGAAAGAACAGACCCCGGACUCAAUUAUAAAUCUGGAUGGUUUACAUCUCGUCAGAGCGGACUGUGACGUGAGGGAGAGCGCAGGUGAAAUGUUGCCACGGCAACAGCCACAAACACUCUGGAUGAAACCCGACAACAAGGACCGAACACACAACAGAGUUAAACUCAUCAUGCAGGACCCUCCUCUGUCCAGACUGAGUCGAGGUUGUGGUCAUCUGGUUUCAUCCCACGGAUGUCUGGACGUUUGCUUCACUCCUCAGCAGGAUUACUACAUCUGGAGGGAUCAGGAUUCUCUACUGUGUUUGUCAAACAGUCUGAUGGGAACAGAAUCAACGCUUCCAAAGACGUACAGUACUAGAAGAGGAGCUCUACUGCUGUACUCACAGCAUUUGAUUUCCAUGGAAAGCAGCCGUUGCCCAGGAAACAGAAACAGGAGACAGAGAGCAGCUCAGGGAUCCUGUCAGCAGGUGAAGCAGCAACUGAGCAUGCUCAAAGACCUGACAGCGGCCAUUUUGAAGCACAGCAACAACCAGUUCUUCUCCUCCAGGCCUCCAGUCCUUCCUCCUCUGAACCUCCCUGCAGCCUCCAGAACCCUGAACACUAAAUAUCAGCAGCUCGGUCCAGAGAGAAACACCGGACAACCAGAGAAGCAAUCUGAAGUUCUAAAAUAGUGAUGGUGAGAUGAAGCCUCAUGAAGCAUUGAACCACUUGAACCAAUUGGUUCGAGAAAGGGUUCAUUUCUUGAAGCUUCAUGAGCACACGAAACCACCUACUGGUCAAGUGUAUAAUCACAGGCAGCUGUAUCUGAACCACAUGCCUGAUGCAUUGAGAGGGGUCUGGCUGCAGACCUCCACUCUCAGGACCCUUCCUCGCAGACCUGCACUGUGAGGUCUCCUCCACUCUAAGGACCGGAAGUUUAUUCGACGGAAGCACGUAUUUAGCGUUUCCUAUGUAAGCACGUAUUUAGCGUUUCGAAUUUACCCCUCCAGCGAACUGCUGAAAAAAAGAUUUAAUAUUGAACAAAACAACUGUGUAUUUUGUGAAAACGACAUUGAAACCACUGAACAUCUUUUUUACCAAUGCAUUUAUACAAAGACAUUCUGGGAAGACCUCUGGGACUGGCUGUCUUCAAAAAUCCAGCUACAGAACGCUUUGGACUGGGACAUUGUUGUCUUUGGCCUUUUACAGAAAGACUCUGAAACUAAAAUUGUGAUAAAUAGUAUACUACUGUUGGCAACAUUUUUUAUCCAUACUUGUAAAUGGCGUAAGGUAAAGUCCAUUUUCACAGUUUUCAAGAGACAAAUGCAAGAUAACUAUGUAAAAUCUUUGAAACUAAUGUUAUGUAAAAAAGCUCUUUUUCUGAUGAAAGCACUUGAAAAUGUACAAAUAUUUGAAGACCUCUAACAUACAAUGUUGCACGUGUGCGUGGGUCAGAGGCGUCACUAGGUUUUAAGGACAGGGGGGGCUUAGCCCCCAGGAGAUGCACAGGAUGUGAGCAAACAUUUAAUUUUACAGCUAACAAAAACUGAGAAAUUGCUUUUCCACAUUAAGAUUUAGAUUUAUUCAGAGAUACUUUACUGUAUAAAUGUUUACACCACAGUGGCCAUGACUUUUGCUCACAACACAAUAACUCAGAGCUGCCAAGUUGUGACCAGACCUCAGAGUGAGAUUUGGUUUGUGCAGGAUGCUGAUGGGGGGUGUGGGGGUCCUCCCCCAGAACAUUUAGAAAAUUACUGAUCCUAUUUCCUGCAUUCUGGUGUAAUUUAAGAGCAUUUUGUUAAAACCUUAUUAUAGAGGGAUAAUAAAAAAAACAACACUGAGCUAAAAAAAAA